This 255-nucleotide ribosomal RNA is filed under the name uncultured bacterium. Its description in RNAcentral is "partial 16S ribosomal RNA". It matches the Rfam family "Bacterial small subunit ribosomal RNA", at positions 524 to 776 of the family's 1533-position model. The record is from RNAcentral.
UACGUAGGUGACAAGCGUUGUCCGGAUUUACUGGGCGUAAAGGGCGCGUAGGCGGUCGUGACAAGUCACUUGUGAAAUCUCCGGGCUUAACUCGGAACGGUCAAGUGAUACUGUCGGACUAGAGUACAGAAGGGGCAACUGGAAUUCUCGGUGUAGCGGUGAAAUGCGUAGAUAUCGAGAGGAACACCUGCGGCGAAGGCGGGUUGCUGGGCUGAUAACUGACGCUGAGGCGCGAAAGCCAGGGGAGCGAACGGG